AUCCAGACUCCUACGGGAGGCAGCAGUGAGGAAUAUUGGUCAAUGGACGCAAGUCUGAACCAGCCAAGUAGCGUGCAGGAUGACGGCCCUCCGGGUUGUAAACUGCUUUUAGUUGGGAAUAAAAGGGGGCUCGUGAGCCCCGUAUUGUAUGUACCAUCAGAAAAAGGACCGGCUAAUUCCGUGCCAGCAGCCGCGGUAAUACGGAAGGUCCGGGCGUUAUCCGGAUUUAUUGGGUUUAAAGGGUGCGUAGGCGGACUGGAAAGUCAGCGGUAAAAUCGAGAGGCUCAACCUCUUUCCGCCGUUGAAACUGUCGGUCUUGAGUGGGCGAGAAGUAUGCGGAAUGCGUGGUGUAGCGGUGAAAUGCAUAGAUAUCACGCAGAACUCCGAUUGCGAAGGCAGCAUACCGGCGCCCGACUGACGCUGAGGCACGAAAGCGUGGGUAUCGAACAGGAUUAGAUACCCUGGUA
RNAcentral lists this ribosomal RNA (467 nucleotides) under uncultured bacterium. Its description in RNAcentral is "bacterial SSU rRNA". It matches the Rfam family "Bacterial small subunit ribosomal RNA", at positions 329 to 792 of the family's 1533-position model. The record is from RNAcentral.